CGCAGCUGGCGACUCCAGCUCUCCCAGGCUGCCGGGCACGGGCUCGGCGCCGCGAGUCCGAGCCGCGCCGCGCCGCGCCGCUCGCAGCCCCAACUUGCCCGCCUCGCAAACUUGCCCCGGCUCCUGACAGGGCGCGGCUGGAGGCAAGGAGUCUCUCCUCUCUGCCUGUGCUCCUGAGUUGCCAACAGCCAUCCAGACAUCGAUUCAGACUGGGAAGAGAGGGCUGAAAAAAGCAUAGACUUUACUGCACUCUCCAAGAUAAU
RNAcentral lists this long non-coding RNA (263 nucleotides) under Crocodylus porosus (Australian saltwater crocodile). RNAcentral's name for it is "lncRNA (ENSCPRG00005011642.1)". The record is from RNAcentral. Lineage: Eukaryota; Metazoa; Chordata; Crocodylia; Crocodylidae.